UAUGGCCGUAACACGUUGAAACACCGGCUCCCGUACGAUCACUGAAAAGCAAAGUCGAGCCUAGUCAGUACCUAGAUGGGUGACCGCUUGGGAAUAUCAAGUGCU
Non-coding RNA from Acanthosepion pharaonis, 105 nucleotides. NCBI's taxonomy places the organism in Eukaryota, Metazoa, Mollusca, Cephalopoda, Sepiida, Sepiidae. The record is from the annotation of a GenBank genome assembly.